GCCAGACUCCUACGGGAGGCAGCAGUGAGGAAUAUUGGUCAAUGGCCGAGAGGCUGAACCAGCCAAGUCGCGUGAGGGAAGACGGCCCUACGGGUUGUAAACCUCUUUUGUCGGGGAGCAAAGCGAGUCACGUGUGACUCAUUGAGAGUACCCGAAGAAAAAGCAUCGGCUAACUCCGUGCCAGCAGCCGCGGUAAUACGGAGGAUGCGAGCGUUAUCCGGAUUUAUUGGGUUUAAAGGGUGCGCAGGCGGAAUGUCAAGUCAGCGGUAAAAUUUCGGGGCUCAACCCCGUCGUGCCGUUGAAACUGGCGUUCGUGAGUGAGCGAGAAGUAUGCGGAAUGCGUGGUGUAGCGGUGAAAUGCAUAGAUAUCACGCAGAACUCCGAUUGCGAAGGCAGCAUACCGGCGCUCAACUGACGCUCAUGCACGAAAGCGUGGGUAUCGAACAGGAUUAGAUACCCUAGUACAC
RNAcentral lists this ribosomal RNA (467 nucleotides) under uncultured bacterium. RNAcentral's name for it is "bacterial SSU rRNA". It matches the Rfam family "Bacterial small subunit ribosomal RNA", at positions 330 to 795 of the family's 1533-position model. The record is from RNAcentral.